Non-coding RNA from Triticum urartu, 1320 nucleotides. The record is from RefSeq and is a predicted model, not a curated record. Lineage: Eukaryota; Viridiplantae; Streptophyta; Magnoliopsida; Poales; Poaceae.
UCGCCUGCGUGCCACACCGUCGCCACCUCUCCCACACGUUGAUGAAGAGGUAAGCCGUUGUCUGUACUCCAGCUUCAUAGUGACACACAAGGAGCAGCAGCUACUGCUAGUGAGUCCCGCUUCCUUCUCUCUGUAUCUUGUGCCAAACCAAAAGGUGCACAAGACAUGUUUGAUGAAAUGGCUAGCUGAAGAUAGAACUGUUGUUAAAUCAUGUUUCCCUUUGGUUUAAUUUUUCUUUGUUAAUGUUCUAUUAUUUGCCCAAUUAUUUACUGCGCAAAAUACCUCCAUCCCAAACACUUUUAUCGUGGAGUGGGGAAAAGUUAUAAUUUUUCUAUAAGCACUUUAUAAUUGGCUAGAAAAUAGGAAAAGAAAAAGAGAAAAAACAAGAUGUAGCAGUGCAUUGAAACACAACGUCUACUAGUGCUUCUCUUUUGAUUGAGAUAUUCCCAACAUUUCUUUGCCCAGGAUGUGUUUGCGUUCAUAUAUGUAAGGAAACUGUUGUAGCUAAGUGUUCACUUUGAUUUUCCUUUGCUUCACGCUGUGACGUACAUAGUCUGAUGUGCUUAUAUAUUUUUCCUGAACUUAUAAGUAGAUGGUCCGCUGUAUUCAUGAUCUCCUAGUGCUUGUUGCUAGGUCUGUCUCUCUUUCCGCCCCUGCUCACCGUCCUGUGCGGCAAUGGACGCGACUACUUGAGGGAACGAAGCCCGUCCUCCCAGCACCGGUAGUCUCCCUGCACCCUGCAAAAAAUUAAAUAAAUCGUAAGUUCAUAAUCAAGAAACCAUGAAGUUCAAAGACAACAAAGGUACAACAAUGUUGAUGGCGAUUGAAGAAGGAUCCCGGAAAUAUUAUUAUUGGGACCGUAGGCCAAGUUUUAUGCAUGGUGUGAGAGGAUUCCAGGAAUUGUUCUGAAGCGGUCGAUGGCUUUCGAGAGAUGCGAUCAUAUCUCACAAGUUUCCAAGGGGUUCAACAUCAUUUAUAUAAGAAGGAAAUGUCAAAGGUUCAGAUGGCAACACACUUAAAAAUACUGGUGAAAAAUCUGAACAUGUAUAGUGCAAUCAUGGGAAAAAGCUUGAAUUUUUAUCGCUUGACCUGUGCUGAUCUCUCCUAUAGUUUUUGUUAUGCGUUCUUCAUUGAGUGGUACAACUGAACAUAUCCAUGGGAGAUCCAUGCUAUGGUACAGAUUUGUGAAAUUACUUUGUACUCAUUAGUAUUAUUUCAUUGUGGGUAAUGGGCGCAUGACUUCAUGUGUUCACUAUUUAUUUUUUCGCUUGAUUUGUAGCCAAAUUAUUUAUUAAUAUUGUGAUUCGAGUGCCUUGUGCA